CUCGUGUCGUGAGAUGUUGGGUUAAGGACCGCAACGAGCGCAACCCUUGUCCUUAGUUGGCAGCACGUAAUGGUGGGAACUUUAAGGAGACUGCCGGUGAAAAAUCGGAGGAAGGUGGGGAUGACGUCAAGUCAUCAUGGCCCUUACGACCAGGGCUACACACGUACCACAAUGGUAGGGACAGAGGGCUGCGAUCUCGCGAGGGUGAGCUAAUCCCAGAAACCCUAUCUCAG
RNAcentral lists this ribosomal RNA (233 nucleotides) under Xylella fastidiosa subsp. multiplex. RNAcentral describes it as "partial 16S ribosomal RNA". It matches the Rfam family "Bacterial small subunit ribosomal RNA", at positions 1059 to 1291 of the family's 1533-position model. Lineage: Bacteria; Pseudomonadati; Pseudomonadota; Gammaproteobacteria; Lysobacterales; Lysobacteraceae. The record is from RNAcentral.